This 340-nucleotide ribosomal RNA is filed under the name uncultured bacterium. RNAcentral describes it as "bacterial SSU rRNA". It matches the Rfam family "Bacterial small subunit ribosomal RNA", at positions 1 to 334 of the family's 1533-position model. The record is from RNAcentral.
CUAGCGACUUCAGAGUUUGAUCCUGGCUCAGGAUGAACGCUGGCGGCGUGCCUAACACAUGCAAGUCGAACGGACAAGAUGAAACCUAGUGAUUCUUGUUAGUGGCGGACGGGUGAGUAACGCGUGGGCAACCUGCCUCAUACAGGGGGAUAACACUUAGAAAUAGGUGCUAAUACCGCAUAAGCGCACAGUUUCGCAUGGAACAGUGUGAAAAACUCCGGUGGUAUGAGAUGGACCCGCGUCUGAUUAGCUAGUUGGUAGGGUAACGGCCUACCAAGGCGACGAUCAGUAGCCGGCCUGAGAGGGUGAACGGCCACAUUGGGACUGAGACACGGCCCAA